Molecule: ribosomal RNA, 483 nt
Filed under: uncultured bacterium
Lineage: Bacteria
Description: partial 16S ribosomal RNA
Rfam family: Bacterial small subunit ribosomal RNA
Source: RNAcentral
GACGAACGCUGGCGGCGUGCUUAACACAUGCAAGUCGAACGCUGAAGCUCAGCUUUUGUUGGGUGGAUGAGUGGCGAACGGGUGAGUAACACGUGAGUAACCUGCCCCCUUCUUUGGGAUAACGCCCGGAAACGGGUGCUAAUACUGGAUAUUCACUGGUCUUCGCAUGGGGGUUGGUGGAAAGGGUUUUUCUGGUGGGGGAUGGGCUCGCGGCCUAUCAGCUUGUUGGUGGGGUGAUGGCCUACCAAGGCUUUGACGGGUAGCCGGCCUGAGAGGGUGACCGGUCACAUUGGGACUGAGAUACGGCCCAGACUCCUACGGGAGGCAGCAGUGGGGAAUAUUGCACAAUGGGCGCAAGCCUGAUGCAGCGACGCCGCGUGAGGUAUGGAGGCCUUCGGGUUGUGAACCUCUUUCGCUCAUGGUCAAGCCGCAACAAUGGUUGUGGUGAGGGUAGUGGGUAAAGAAGCGCCGGCUAACUACGUG